Molecule: long non-coding RNA, 1140 nt
Organism: Eriocheir sinensis (Chinese mitten crab)
Lineage: Eukaryota; Metazoa; Arthropoda; Malacostraca; Decapoda; Varunidae
Exons: 4
Source: RefSeq, a predicted model, not a curated record
GGGUUGUGAGGACUGACCUGAAGGACCUUCCCUCCAUGAUAGUCAGGGUGGAAUCCAUCCUGAUAACACAGAUGCUCCUCUCCAUGCUGACUUGGGCAACGAAAGCCACUGCCUCGCCACGGGAGUGAGAGGAACUGACCUGAACAUCGCCUUCCUGCUUGCUGUAGGGAAAGCCUCUGCUGCUGGCCCUGCUGGAGAAAGUCUACCGUCUACGUCAUUGUGCACCAGUACCCAAGACGGCCAGGCAGCUGGGAACACAAGCCACCACAGGAAGUCUGCACCCACGCGGUCAUUCUCCAAAAUGGCGCAUCGAGUCGGUUGUUCCCUGAAUCCCCUGCAAAGCCUUCUCUCUGUGAUGGCCACGGUGGAAUCUAACAUAAUGGCACAGCCGCUGGCGAGUGUUGGAGUCUGACUACUCUCUGGCCCUGAGCUCGAGACUUCAGAUGAAGCCAGACAACCGAAUAUCUCCCCUGCUCCUCCCCGCGGUGCUUGCCUUGCCUUGCCUUGCCGAGUGUACAAGGUUGUGCACAACUAUAGCGACGGAAUGGAUCACAUUAUACACUUGGGUGCCGAUGAACACUGCUAUUACCCGACAUACUGGCCCGUCUCGUUGCUCGCCCCUGACCACUGCAACCAACACUGCCUUCGAUAGAGCCUUUGCUGCCACCAGGGGUGGGUGGGUGGAGCCUGGCCUGGACCUCCCCUUCAUGCUGUUCCUGCUGGAGAAAGUCUACCUCCCCUUAAUGAUCCUGCUGGAGAAAGUCUACCUUCCCUUCCUGGUGAAUUCAGUUUGAACUUCAACCCCUGCGUAUUCUAGGGCCCGGCGGUGACCGUCUUUAGAUUCAGUGACAUGCCCGAGUUCAGUUUGAACUUUAUCCCCUGCGUUUUCUAAGGCCCGGCGGUGACAGUCUUUAGAUUCAGUGACAUGUCUGAGUUCAGUUUGAACUUUAUCCCCUGCGUUUUCUAAGGCCCGGCGGUGACAGUCUUUAGAUUCAGUGACAUGUCUGAGUUCAGUUUGAACUUUAUCCCCUGCGUUUUCUAAGGCCCGGCGGUGACAGUCUUUAGAUUCAGUGACAUGUCUGAGUUCAGUUUGAACUUUAUCCCCUGCGUUUUCUAAGGCCCGGCGGUGACAGUCUUCAG